RNAcentral lists this ribosomal RNA (509 nucleotides) under uncultured bacterium. Its description in RNAcentral is "bacterial SSU rRNA". It matches the Rfam family "Bacterial small subunit ribosomal RNA", at positions 8 to 526 of the family's 1533-position model. The record is from RNAcentral.
AGGGUUUGAUCAUGGCUCAGGACGAACGCUGGCGGUGCGCCUUAUGCAUGCAAGUCGAGCGAAGCUUUUCAGUAGUUUACUACAGAAAAUGACUGAGCGGCGAACGGGUGAGUAACGCGUGAGCAAUCUACCUUAGUUACAGGGAUAGCCCGAGGAAACUCGGAUUAAUACCUGAUAUUCUUUACAUUUCGCAUGAAAUCAAAAGGAAAGGUCAGCCGAACUAAGAUGAGCUCGCGUUCUAUCAGCUAGUUGGUGAGGUAAAAGCUUACCAAGGCAACGACGGAUAGCUGGUCUGAGAGGACGAUCAGCCACACUGGGACUGAGACACGGCCCAGACUCCUACGGGAGGCUGCAGCAGGGAAUAUCGCGCAAUGAGCGAAAGCUUGACGCAGCGACACCGCGUGUGGGAUGACGGAUCUAGGUUUGUAAACCACUUUCAGGAGGGAAGAAAAUGACGGUACCUCCACAAGAAGCCCCGGCCAACUACGUGCCAGCAGCCGCGGUAAUAC